GACGAACGCUGGCGGCGUGCUUAACACAUGCAAGUCGAACGGUGAAGCGCUUUCCUUUUUGGUUGGUGUGGAUGAGUGGCGAACGGGUGAGUAACACGUGAGUAACCUGCCCCCUUCUUCUGGAUAACCGCAUGAAAGUGUGGCUAAUACGGGAUAUUCUGCGCCUGCUGCAUGGUGGGUGUGGGAAAGAUUGUGCCUUUGGGUGUUUUCGUUGGGGGAUGGGCUCGCGGCCUAUCAGCUUGUUGGUGGGGUGAUGGCCUACCAAGGCGGUGACGGGUAGCCGGGCUGAGAGGGUGGACGGUCACACUGGGACUGAGACACGGCCCAGACACCUACGGGAGGCAGCAGUGGGGAAUAUUGCACAAUGGGCGCAAGCCUGAUGCAGCGACGCCGCGUGAGGGAGGGAGGCCUUCGGGUUGUGAACCUCUUUCGCCAGUGAAGCAGGCCUGCUCCUUGUGGGUGGGUUGACGGUAGCUGGAUAAGAAGCGCCGGCUAACUACGUG
This 503-nucleotide ribosomal RNA is filed under the name uncultured bacterium. RNAcentral's name for it is "partial 16S ribosomal RNA". It matches the Rfam family "Bacterial small subunit ribosomal RNA", at positions 28 to 507 of the family's 1533-position model. The record is from RNAcentral.